RNAcentral lists this transfer RNA (73 nucleotides) under Streptomyces hygroscopicus subsp. jinggangensis TL01. Its description in RNAcentral is "tRNA-Ala". Lineage: Bacteria; Bacillati; Actinomycetota; Actinomycetes; Kitasatosporales; Streptomycetaceae. The record is from RNAcentral.
CUGAUCGACACUCCGUUGAGUCGUCAAAGAUCGGUGAUGAGGAUCCCGUCCCCGCAGGGGGCGGGAUCUUCUG